GGAAACUGGGGCUAAUACCGGAUGGCUCGCAUCUCUCGCAUGGGGGGUGUGGGAAAGGUUCUCUCCUGUGAGGGGGGGUUCCGGCCUGGGAGGGGCUCGCGGCCCAUCAGCUUGUUGGUGCGGUGAGGGCGUACCAAGGCGAUGACGGGUAGCCGGCCUGAGAGGGUGAUCGGCCACACUGGGACUGAGACACGGCCCAGACUCCUACGGGAGGCAGCAGUGGGGAAUUUUGCGCAAUGGGCGGAAGCCUGACGCAGCGACGCCGUGUGGGGGAGGACGGCCUUCGGGUUGUAAACCCCUUUCGGCCCUGACGAAUGUGACGGUAGGGGCUAAAGAAGCGCCGGCUAACUACGUGCCAGCAGCCGCGGUAAUACGUAGGGCGCGAGCGUUGUCCGGAUUUACUGGGCGUAAAGGGCUCGUAGGCGGUUUGUCGCGUCGGUCGUGGAAAUGUGCGGCUUAACCGGGCACGUGCGGCCGAUACGGGCAGACUCGAGGGCGGUAGGGGCAAGCGGAAUUCCUGGUGUAGCGGUGAAAUGCGCAGAUAUCAGGAGGAACACCGAUGGCGAAGGCAGCUUGCUGGGCCGUUCCUGACGCUGAGGAGCGAAAGCAU
This 610-nucleotide ribosomal RNA is filed under the name Nocardiopsis sp. 41405. RNAcentral describes it as "bacterial SSU rRNA". It matches the Rfam family "Bacterial small subunit ribosomal RNA", at positions 152 to 762 of the family's 1533-position model. The record is from RNAcentral. Lineage: Bacteria; Bacillati; Actinomycetota; Actinomycetes; Streptosporangiales; Nocardiopsidaceae.